AUGGAGAGUGAUGUGCGUCCCACCCUGACGGUGCUGCCCCCCUCCAGUGAGGAGCUGCAGCAGGGGAAGGCCACGCUCAUGUGUCUGGCCAACAAGGGCUUCCCCUCAGACUGGAGUCUGGCCUGGAAGGUGGACGGCAGCAGCAGCAGCAGCUGGGAGGAGAGCAGGAGCCCUGGGGUGCUGGAGAAGAACGGCCUCUACAGCUGGAGCAGCACCCUGAGGCUCCCUGCAGACCAGUGGAGGAGGUUGGGAUCUGUGACCUGUGAGGCCACCCAGGGCUCCCAGACUCCACACUCAGAGACACUGAGGAGAGACCAGUGUUCCCAGUCCUGA
Molecule: non-coding RNA, 333 nt
Organism: Epinephelus fuscoguttatus (brown-marbled grouper)
Lineage: Eukaryota; Metazoa; Chordata; Actinopteri; Perciformes; Serranidae
Source: the annotation of a RefSeq genome assembly